UUGGGAAUCUUAGGCAAUGGACGAAAGUCUGACCGAGCAACGCCGCGUGAGUGAAGAAGGUUUUCGGAUCGUAAAACUCUGUUGUUAGAGAAGAACAAGGACGUUAGUAACUGAACGUCCCCUGACGGUAUCUAACCAGAAAGCCAAGGCUAAAUACGUGCAAGCAGCCGCGGUAAUACGUAGGUGGCUAGCGUUGUCCGGAUUUAUUGGGCGUAAAGCGAGCGCAGGCGGUUUCUUAAGUCUGAUGUGAAAGCCCCCGGCUCAACCGUGGAGGGUCAUUGGAAACUGGGAGACUUAAGUGCAUAAGAUGAGAGUGUAAUUCCAUGUGUAGCGGUGAUAUGCGUAGAUAUAUGGAUAAACACCGGUUGCGAAGGCGGCUCUCUGGUCUGUAACUGACGCUGAGGCUCGAAAGCGUGGAGAGCAAACAGG
RNAcentral lists this ribosomal RNA (429 nucleotides) under Gemmatimonadota bacterium. RNAcentral describes it as "Gemmatimonadetes bacterium partial 16S ribosomal RNA". It matches the Rfam family "Bacterial small subunit ribosomal RNA", at positions 355 to 776 of the family's 1533-position model. Lineage: Bacteria; Pseudomonadati; Gemmatimonadota. The record is from RNAcentral.